CAAUAGCGUAUACUAAAGUUGUUGCAGUUAAAAAGCUCGUAGUUGAAUUUCUGGUCGUGGCGAUCGGUCCGCCCCUCACGGGGUGUGCACCUGGUCUCUACGUCCAUCCUCGGGGAGAGCACAUCUGGCAUUCAGUUGUCGGGUGUGGGAUCCUCGUCAUUUACUGUGAGCAAAAUAGAGUGUUCAAAGCAGGCUUAGGCCGUUGAAUACAUUAGCAUGGAAUAAUAAGAUAGGACCUUGGUCUAUUUUGUUGGUUUGCAUUCCAAGGUAAUGAUUAAUAGGGAUAGUUGGGGGUAUUCGUAUUCAAUUGUCAGAGGUGAAAUUCUUGGAUUUAUGGAAGACGAACUACUGCGAAAGCAUUUACCAAGGAUGUUUUCAUUAAUCAAGAACGAAAGUUAGGGGAUCGAAGACGAUCAGAUACCGU
Molecule: ribosomal RNA, 424 nt
Filed under: uncultured eukaryote
Lineage: Eukaryota
Description: SSU rRNA
Rfam family: Eukaryotic small subunit ribosomal RNA
Source: RNAcentral